Molecule: ribosomal RNA, 844 nt
Filed under: uncultured bacterium
Lineage: Bacteria
Description: bacterial SSU rRNA
Rfam family: Bacterial small subunit ribosomal RNA
Source: RNAcentral
GCAGGCUUAAUACAUGCAAGUCGUGGGGCAGCGCAGUGUAGCAAUACAUGGGCGGCGACCGGCAAACGGGUGCGGAACACGUACACAACCUUCCUACAAGUGGGGAAUAGCCCAGAGAAAUUUGGAUUAAUACCCCGUAACAUAUAAAGAUGGCAUCAUUUUUAUAUUAUAGCUACGGCGCUUGUUGAUGGGUGUGCGGCUGAUUAGGUAGUUGGCGGGGUAAUGGCCCACCAAGCCUGCGAUCAGUAGCUGAUGUGAGAGCAUGAUCAGCCACACGGGCACUGAGACACGGGCCCGACUCCUACGGGAGGCAGCAGUAAGGAAUAUUGGACAAUGGGCGCAAGCCUGAUCCAGCCAUGCCGCGUGAAGGAUUAAGGUCCUCUGGAUUGUAAACUUCUUUUAUAAGGGACGAAAAAAGGGAAUUCUUUCUCACUUGACGGUACCUUAUGAAUAAGCACCGGCUAACUCCGUGCCAGCAGCCGCGGUAAUACGGAGGGUGCAAGCGUUAUCCGGAUUCACUGGGUUUAAAGGGUGCGUAGGCGGGUAUUUAAGUCAGUGGUGAAAUCCUAGAGCUUAACUCUAGAACUGCCAUUGAUACUAUUUAUCUUGAAUAUUGUGGAGGUAAGCGGAAUAUGUCAUGUAGCGGUGAAAUGCUUAGAUAUGGCAUAGAACACCUAUUGCGAAGGCAGCUUACUACGCAUAUAUUGACGCCGAGGCACGAAAGCGUGGGGACCAAACAGGAUUAGAUACCCUGGUAGUCCACGCCCUAAACGAUGGAUACCCGACAUACGCGAUACACUGUGUGUGUCUGAGCGAAAGCAUUAAGUAUCCCACCUGGGGAAGU